RNAcentral lists this transfer RNA (74 nucleotides) under Patescibacteria group bacterium. RNAcentral describes it as "tRNA-Gln". It matches the Rfam family "tRNA". From Rfam's summary of the family: Transfer RNA (tRNA) molecules are approximately 80 nucleotides in length. Their secondary structure includes four short double-helical elements and three loops (D, anti-codon, and T loops). Further hydrogen bonds mediate the characteristic L-shaped molecular structure. tRNAs have two regions of fundamental functional importance: the anti-codon, which is responsible for specific mRNA codon recognition, and the 3' end, to which the tRNAs corresponding amino acid is attached (by aminoacyl-tRNA synthetases). tRNAs cope with the degeneracy of the genetic code in two manners: having more than one tRNA (with a specific anti-codon) for a particular amino acid; and 'wobble' base-pairing, i.e. permitting non-standard base-pairing at the 3rd anti-codon position. The record is from RNAcentral.
UGCGGGAUCGUCUAAUGGUAGGACAAUGGAUUCUGGAUCCAUUAAUUCAGGUUCGAGUCCUGAUCCCGCAGCCA